CUCAACUGUGGGAUCGCGCUGAGAACUGUAUAGCUUGGGUUCUGGAGGGGGAGCUGGAAUUCCAGGUGUAGGGGUGAAAUCUGUAGAUAUCUGGAAGAACACCGGCGGCGAAGGCGAGCUCCUGGCCAUGAACUGACGCCGAGGCACGAAAGCGUGGGGAGCGAACAGGAUUAGAUACCCUGGUAGUCCACGCUGUAAACGAUGUGCACUGGGUGGUGGUCCGUUGAAGGCUCACUGCCGUAGCUAACGCGUUAAGUGCACCGCCUGGGGAGUAUGCCCGCAAGGGUGAAACUCAAAGGAAUUGACAGGGGCCCGCACAAGCGGUGGAGCAUGUGGUUUAAUUCUAUGAUACGCGAGGAACCUUACCAGGGCUUGACAUCAGCAGGAAGUCGCAGGAGACUGCGGCGCCCUUCCGGGUCU
This 420-nucleotide ribosomal RNA is filed under the name uncultured bacterium. Its description in RNAcentral is "bacterial SSU rRNA". It matches the Rfam family "Bacterial small subunit ribosomal RNA", at positions 608 to 1029 of the family's 1533-position model. The record is from RNAcentral.